CCCAGGAGCCACAAGUGGCAACCACUUUUAUUGGGCCUAAAGCGUCCGUAGCCGGCCUGGUAAAUUUCCUGUGAAAUCGUUGGGCUUAACCUAACGCCGUGCAGGAAAGACUACUGGGCUAGGGACCGAAAAGCGUCAGAGGUAUUCCUGAGGGAGCGGUAAAAUGCUAUAAUCUCAGGAGGACCCCCUGUGGCGAAGGCGUCUGACGAGAACGGAUCCGACGGUGAGGGACGAAAGCUAGGGGAGCAAACCGG
This 254-nucleotide ribosomal RNA is filed under the name uncultured bacterium. Its description in RNAcentral is "partial 16S ribosomal RNA". It matches the Rfam family "Archaeal small subunit ribosomal RNA", at positions 474 to 727 of the family's 1478-position model. The record is from RNAcentral.